Molecule: long non-coding RNA, 206 nt
Filed under: Mytilus galloprovincialis (Mediterranean mussel)
Lineage: Eukaryota; Metazoa; Mollusca; Bivalvia; Mytilida; Mytilidae
Source: RNAcentral
GAAACUAUGAAAGCUCUACAAUGAACACCAAAUUCUCGAAAUACCAACACUUAUGUUAAAAUAGCUAUAACCUAUAUUUCUGACCUGGGACAAACAUGAUUUUCUAACCGACAUAUAGUGUUAAGACCUCAGCCCCUAACAGAAAAUGGUUAUCAUUUUGAGACAUACAUUGUAAAUUACAAGAAAGAGAAAACAAAAGGGCCCCC